This 522-nucleotide long non-coding RNA is filed under the name Eucalyptus grandis. RNAcentral describes it as "long non-coding RNA (EGRA_LNC002457)". The record is from RNAcentral. Lineage: Eukaryota; Viridiplantae; Streptophyta; Magnoliopsida; Myrtales; Myrtaceae.
GACAACGAAUUUCAGGACUCCCGGCACGAUUAUUCUCUAGGGAAGUGAGAGUGCCCAUCUCUGUAAAUUCACGCGAGGCGGAGGGGCGUUUGCGUCAAAGCAUCUCCGGAUGACUCGUCACCCAAUCCCGAACGAGAUCUCCUCUGCCCCUCCCUCCCUCCCCCCACCCACCUGUUCCUGUUUCUACAAAGAAGCACACCCCUCAUUCAACACCCAAAAACCAGAACCAAAAAACCACAACCUGACAACAUCAAAAACCGCCCCCACCCACACAAACUCGAUUCACACAUGUUCACUCGCCUUGUCCGAAACACCACCCCCCCCCUCCCACCAGAUAUAAAAAAAGACCAAAGAUCGAUCCUUGAUCCUUCAAUCUCCCCCCCCCCACCAAAACACCACACCAAAAGCAAUAGAACAGAGCACGGAGUCGAUUGCAGAGCGAGAGAGAGAGAGAGAGAGAGAGAGAGAAUUCUCGAGAUAUACGCGCGCUGACCACCUUCGGUUGAUUAAUGCAUCACANNN